GUGGGGAAUAUUGCGCAAUGGGCGGAAGCCUGACGCAGCGACGCCGCGUGGGGGAUGACGGCCUUCGGGUUGUAAACCUCUUUCAGCAGGGACGAAGCCGAAAGGUGACGGUACCUGCAGAAGAAGCACCGGCCAACUACGUGCCAGCAGCCGCGGUAAUACGUAGGGUGCAAGCGUUGUCCGGAAUUAUUGGGCGUAAAGAGCUCGUAGGCGGUUCGUCGCGUCGGCUGUGAAAACCUGAGGCUCAACCUCAGGCCUGCAGUCGAUACGGGCGGACUGGAGUUCGGCAGGGGAGACUGGAAUUCCUGGUGUAGCGGUGAAAUGCGCAGAUAUCAGGAGGAACACCGGUGGCGAAGGCGGGUCUCUGGGCCGAUACUGACGCUGAGGGGCGAAAGCGUGGGGAGCGAACAGGAUUAGAUACCCUGGUAGUCCACGCCGUAAACGUUGGGCGCUAGGUGUGGGGGCCAUUCCACGGUCUCCGUGCCGCAGCUAACGCAUUAAGCGCCCCGCCUGGGGAGUACGGCCGCAAGGC
Molecule: ribosomal RNA, 532 nt
Filed under: uncultured Geodermatophilus sp.
Lineage: Bacteria; Bacillati; Actinomycetota; Actinomycetes; Geodermatophilales; Geodermatophilaceae
Description: bacterial SSU rRNA
Rfam family: Bacterial small subunit ribosomal RNA
Source: RNAcentral